CGACCUCAGAGCAGGU
RNAcentral lists this ribosomal RNA (16 nucleotides) under Timarcha interstitialis. RNAcentral describes it as "partial 28S ribosomal RNA". The record is from RNAcentral. Lineage: Eukaryota; Metazoa; Arthropoda; Insecta; Coleoptera; Chrysomelidae.